Molecule: ribosomal RNA, 502 nt
Filed under: uncultured bacterium
Lineage: Bacteria
Description: partial 16S ribosomal RNA
Rfam family: Bacterial small subunit ribosomal RNA
Source: RNAcentral
AUUGAACGCUGGCGGCAGGCUUAACACAUGCAAGUCGAGCGGGGUGAUGGUGCUUGCACUAUCACUUAGCGGCGGACGGGUGAGUAAUGCUUAGGAAUCUGCCUAUUAGUGGGGGACAACAUCUCGAAAGGGAUGCUAAUACCGCAUACGUCCUACGGGAGAAAGCAGGGGAUCACUUGUGACCUUGCGCUAAUAGAUGAGCCUAAGUCGGAUUAGCUAGUUGGUGGGGUAAAGGCCUACCAAGGCGACGAUCUGUAGCGGGUCUGAGAGGAUGAUCCGCCACGCUGAGACUGAGACACGGCCCAGACUCCUACGGGAGGCAGCAGUGGGGAAUAUUGGACAAUGGGGGCAACCCUGAUCCAGCGACGCCGCGUGUGUGAAGAAGGCCUGCGGGUUGUAAAGCACUUUUAGUGGGGACAAAAAGCCGAGGGCUAAUACCUUUCGGUCUUGAUUUAACCCAAAGAAAAAGCACCGGCUAACUCUGUGCCAGCCGCCGCCGUAA